UUUUAUUGCGCGCAAACCCCAAAAUUUUAUUCCCACCUUUGGGUUUCCGCGCCGAAGACCCAGCGCCAGAUUCGGCGACAAAGAAAACUGACAGCAGUCGCCGGACAGUUGGCAAUCCUGAUAUUUGACGGCGGCCGCCCGGUAGUCAUGGGAGUGGAUUGUUGUCACGCAAAUAGAUCUUUUCGCUGAAAAUGCAUGUGUAUUGAGUUGUUGUUGACAGAUUUUCUGCAGUGUUAGUGUGAAAUUCAGCGGUUUUCUGUAUCGCGUAAGCCUUCGCUGGAAGAAAACGUCAUGUUGUUCAGCGAACCAAGGAAAAUUUUCAGUGAAAAAAGCAAUACUUCUGAUUGGAAGCGACCCCGCUGUAGUGUCAAAAUUCUCGGACCGCGAUGAAUUCAGUUCAUCGGUGCACUCGUCUAUUCUACUUUAUCGAUCUUGUUGUCCUCCUUUUCAUGCUCAUGUUACAUUUGUCAAAAUGACGUGAGAAUUGUCAGUCAUUUUGAGGUUAGAUUCGUUGGUGUAAUGAAGAAUUGGGCAAUUCAAGCCCAAAGGUGGAAAAAAUUAAUAACUUUCUUAAUACAAGACCCUAUGUGACCAUCGAUGGCUUAUUCGAAAGCAAAUUUUCUCAAGAAUUGGUUGAUGGAUGAUUCAUGUACGGGCAACUACUCUGAAGCGUGUUAUAGAGCCCGUUUAAACCCAGUUCCCCUUGGAAUUUGAGAAUUUCUGCUAUUUUACGGCAUUUGUUAUGAUUUUAAUGAUUUUUUCGCUGGAAUACCAUCGCCAUGAAACCUAUCAAACAAGCUAUUGGUCAACUUAUCUGGUCAUCCAAGCUUUUGGGUUGUUUUUUUUUUUCAUGUAACCCUAAAUUUCCAAAUUUCAUAAGAUGCAGAAAUGUUACUGGUUAGCUCUUCAUCAAUAUUAAUUCACAUCAUGCAUAGAAAUUUCAAGUUAAAGUUGUUUUAAUUGAAAAAAAAAACAAUAUAAAAAUAAGUUUAUAGGGGAGUUACUAAGCUCUGAAACUAUAUGUUGCCGCCACCUCCCGUCUAUGAGGCUAUGCGCAAACAACAUUUAGGAUGUUUUUGGAGUAUAUAAGCAAUGGCUUAUCGUUUGGAAAUGUUUGGAAUCGGUGGUAUUGGGAUGAGAAAUACUCAUAUUUGUAUGCGUGAAAAAUCAAGAAAUAUUACAUAUACUAUGAGAUCAAACUCCCCAAAAAUGGUUUCUUCAGAAAUAAUCCAUGUGUAUUCGAUUAUUUAUUUAGUUAUUGUCACGUAAAAAAUCAUUAAUAAAAAUAAAAAAUGAUUUUUUACCUUGAAAAUAUACCAUUGCCCAAUUGACCCCACGAUACCCACAGUAUCCCAGCGAAAAAAUCAUUAAAAUCAUAACAAAUGCCGUAAAAUAGCAGAAAUUCUCAAAUUCUAGGGGGAAUUGGGGUUAAACGGGCUCAAUAACUCGCUUCAGAGUACUUGCCCGUACAUGAAUUAUCCACCAACCAAUUCUUAAGAAAAUUUGCUUUCGAAUAAGCCAUUGAUGGUCACAUAGAGUCUUGUACUAGGUCUUGUAUUAAGAAAGUUAUUAAUGUUUUCCACUGGUGCCAAGAAUUGGCUUCUUUAGCGGUGUUGAGAUAAUUCCAUAUUCUGAAUCUGCAUGCGAAACUGAGCCGAAAUCCAAAUUUUCAUGAAUUUUGGUGCCCGGGAACCUCUUUUAAAAUCUAUUUGAAGUUUGUAUGGGAGCGAUUUGUCGAAUCACCCCUCGUUGCAUUUUGUACUGGGCGGAGCUGUCAAGCAGUUGCCCAGCUGUCAAAAGGUGAUUUCAAAAAAUCUCUUUGAAAUUGAUUUUAGGUAUCAAAAUAAAGUUCUAAAAAUCUGAAAAAAUCAUAGUGGCUCAGAAAAAGGUGCUCUUUCGUAUGAAAUCAAAAAAUCGAUACAUUUUUCUUAAUUUAAAAACCCAAUUGGUGCUGGACUAGGUGCAGUAAACUCGUUCAAAAUCAACUUUCCGCUUUCCGGCAGAAAAUCUUCACAACAAUCACUGUUAACAACAAGUUUACUCAAUAAGGUAUCUGAUUCAGACGGAAGAAGUGGACGAAAACAGUCGUUUCGUUGUGAAUUUAGGUAAUACAUAAUUUUGUUUACAUGUUAUGCCGGGAAUAGGGCAAAAAACCCUAGUUGGGAUAAGCUAUUUUACGAGACGUUCUACCGGUGGGCCGCUCAUUGUUAUUGUUUACAUUUGAUGAUUUUGUUUUAACGAAAAGUAGCAUAACAUGCGGUGAGCAUCAAUCAGAUUUUUGCUGGCAGAGAUGUUUCGGUGUCUAAUGUCCCGCAUAGAGAUUUACAGUUUGCCUUAAUCUCCAAACAGUAAAUCUCUUCUAUCUGUUGCUGUUAAUGUAUAAUUAAUAGUUGCUUUUAUGUCCAAGAAUAUAAGAUGCAACGCAUUCAACUAUAUACCACGGUCUAUGCAAUCCAUAGCAAGUAGUGACAUCAUAUUAUACUAUGCAGAUAUUGUUGAAUGAUAUAAAGAUGGAAGCUUGCAAUUAAUGGUGGCAAUAUUAAUUCACCUUAUGACAAACUGUUUGUGCAUAUUCUGUGCAACACACCUACAUGCAUGCGUUUCACUAUAUGCCACUGAAGUUGAACAAUGUGACAAAUAGUUGUACGCAUCUGUAUUCGUGAAUUAUUGAAAAUUAACUGAUGCUUGUGUUGGCAACAUUCAAAACAAAGAAAAAAAAAUUGGAAGCAGCCAACUGAAAGGGCAAUUUUGUUUCAGAGCCAUUUCAGAACCCAAAUUUGAACAACUGCCGUAGUAAAUCGGGGCAUUGUACGAGGACCAGCACCUAACGUGCUGUUAGCGCAUACUUACCGGAGACCAACGUCCGCUUCAUUUGCAUAACAUCCGGACGAUCCAGCAAACAUCCAUGGCGACCCGGUAUGCAAGCUGGAGCGGGAAACAAACUACGAAGGAGUUGGUCCAAGGACACAUUCAAUUUAGACAUAAGUGAUGAUGGAGUCUAUCGAGUCUAUCACGGUUAAUAAAAGUAAUUGUUUCAUUAGUUAUAGUUCAAUUUGUUCUCAUUUUUUUGUUUUCUUUUAUGGUACUAAUAUUAAAAAAAAACAGUACAAUGCACUGUUUAUAGCUAUAUAAACACAAUACGAUAUACAGUACUCGUUUUCCUUGCAAAUUUAUGGUCAAAUUGUUCUCUAUCCAUUUGCUAUGCAGUGAUUUGUUCGAAAAUAUGGAUAGUAAUUUGACCAUUAUUCUUUACUGUAUUGCGAAAAAUUUGUUCGGGAAAAUGACCGAUUUUUUAUGGUAACCUAUCUUAACCGCCUAUUCCACAUACUGUAAAUUGGCGGGUUACCAUUUGUCAAACUGGCAAAUAUGUACAUGGAAUGGUGAGCUUACUGUUAUCUCCGAUAGUCUGAGAUAUGGUUAAAUGACAAUUGCUAAUGGUCAUCUACAGUAUGAAAAACGUUGCAUUUACAGUUUGUGAUUAUGCGGGGUGGCAUGUAUCAAUCCCCCGAGCUGCAUGAUGUCACUAGCAGAUGAAAAAAACAUCCCCACGGUCUACGGAUAUUAAUUAUAGUGGGCGGGUUGACGCAUUUUUGCAGAUAAAUGAACCUCGUUAUUGGAUGGGCCUGUAUCACAUGUUAUGCUAGCGAAAAUGUAAAUAAAUAGGCCCACCGGUUGGACUUCAAAACUGGUAAACAUUAAAAAAACAGCUGAUUUGAAACGUCUCAUAAAAUGCCUUAUUGUAAAUAUUAUUGCGAUAUUACUUUAUAAAAACUUGGUAUCUUCGGCAAAGUUGUUAGCAUGGUCAAGAGCUGUCCAGUGAUGAACUAAAGCAUUGGCAAAUCCAUCGCUGGGCGGUGCUAGUGUGCAUACAAACUGCAGGCAAAAGUACAUAUAAACGUAUAUGCGUGUACCUCAAUAACGUGAUAAUUUAAGUGUGUGGUGUCUUCGACGAAGUUGUUGGCUGGGCCACGGGCUAUCCAGUGACGAACGCAAUACAGUUUAGACUCCUACUACACGGUUGUUUCGGGGGGUGCAGCAGUAAUUCGUGUUGUAGGAAUCCCAGAGCUUAUGGGUUUUCGCCUAAUUGGAGGUGUGAGCAUGAGCAUGAGCAUAGAUGACCGUACAAUUCGUAGUUGCUACUCCGUGAUUGACCAGAACAAUCGAAAUUGCAUAAGGAACCAACAAACGGAGCUUGGGAGUAGCUACCGCUCUCAAUGUGCACAGUUCGAGAAUUCCAGACUUUAUUAGUCAAUAACGGCGCCGGCCACGUCCUUACGGUCAUCGAGGAAGGAAAGGAAUGUUGCUUGACGUACGUUGCUACUAGAGACCGAGAUCACCUCAUCUUCUCCACGACUGUCACGGGAAGGAGUUUUUGUUAGUGGGGAGGGGGAGAGUCACAUGAUUUGGAUUCACUUUGGUAAGUGAUGUGAUUCAUGCAACCUUUACUUGAGGCAAAACAUUUAUUCAUUUUGACUAAAAUAUUACAAAUGUCGACACCGAAGAUGACGAACCAUUCAAAUUUUUGUGUGAAUGUAAAAAAUGAAAGAAAAAUAUUUAUUAUCAACUGAAUGUGCAUUGAAAACUAGCGCCGACACAUGACGUGACGAACUUUUCAAUAUUUGUUAGAUAAAUACACAAAAACCAGAGCAGAAUUUUAUACAUCCUUCAGCAUUAAUUAUUAUGAUAAAAUGGAACGAGCUCACCAAUAAACAUCCUUCGAAGUGUCCAGUGAGUAUGUGCUGCAGCAUCUUCCACUAACUGGCCUCUUCUCCGAAAUCACACUGAGCCGCUACAACUAUACACGGGUACGACGACGUGCACAUUCAAAUUGACGACGACGACGACGCGGCCGGUCCGAAUGAAAAAAAGCGGUCUCUUCACUUUGCCUAAAAAAUCACACUAAACCGUCCCGUACGAAGAUAAGCACAGUGAAAUCGGCGACGACGACGACGCGGUCGGCCCGAAUGAAAACAGCGGUCUCUUCACUUUGCUACCAAAAUCACACUCGUUUUCGCCUAAUUGGAGGUGUGAGCGAAUAUCUCAGGAGUAUUACAAGAUAGCACCAUACUUUCUUUGGCAAAGUUGUAGUACUAGAAUACUGCCCCACUCGCAUAACAGUCCCAUUUGCAAAAAGUAGGAAUUGAGAAAACGGCAUUUGAAGUUUGAAAAGUUGUUUUCAUAUAAAACUUUGAAAAAUCGUCAAAAUUUGAAAAAUAUUUCGAUCAUCUCGAAACUUUCACAGAUUGCUUUGUACAUGAAUAUAUAACUGUAAAAAUUAUUACAAUCACUACAAAGUUGUUCAGUUUUUUGUUACGUAACACAAAAAUCCAUGAUGGGACUGUUAUGCGGGUACUUUUGAUAUGGGACGCUCAUAACUUGGUAUUUUUUUCACACAUUGACAUAAAAAUUCGUAAUUUUUAUUGUUGUUUUUGGAAGUACAUCAAAAAUGAUGACUAUUCAUAACGUUAACUCAAAAGUGAUGAAAAGUCAAAUGGGACUGUUAUGCGAGUGGGGGCAGAAUAGAU
Long non-coding RNA from Aedes albopictus (Asian tiger mosquito), 5525 nucleotides. RefSeq lists it as uncharacterized. Lineage: Eukaryota; Metazoa; Arthropoda; Insecta; Diptera; Culicidae. The record is from RefSeq and is a predicted model, not a curated record. The transcript is spliced from 2 exons.